CGGGUUGGCCAGGCAAUCGCGUCGGCGCGGAUUCCUUUUGGGGAAACCGCAGCCGCCGAGGAAAGUCCGGGCUCCGCAGGGCAGGGUGGUGGGUAACGCCCACUCGGGGAAACCCGCAGGCCAGUGCCACAGAAAAGAAACCGCCGGCUUACGCUGCUUUGCAGCCUGAGCAGGUAAGGGUGAAAAGGCGGUGUAAGAGACCACCAGCGUCCCGGGUGACCGGGACGGCUAGGUAAACCCCACCCGGAGCAAGGCCAUACAGGACACGUUUGAGGGCUGCCCGCCCGAUGUGUCCGGGUAGGCCGCUUGAGGCAGCCGGCAACGGCUGCCCUAGAUGGAUGAUUGCCGCUCCCGGUCCGGUAACGGUCCGGGCGUACAAAACCCGGCUUAUCGGCCAACCCGUCCA
This 406-nucleotide RNase P RNA is filed under the name Arthrobacter sp. zg-Y1110. RNAcentral's name for it is "RNase P RNA component class A". It matches the Rfam family "Bacterial RNase P class A". Rfam says of the family: Ribonuclease P (RNase P) is a ubiquitous endoribonuclease, found in archaea, bacteria and eukarya as well as chloroplasts and mitochondria. Its best characterised activity is the generation of mature 5'-ends of tRNAs by cleaving the 5'-leader elements of precursor-tRNAs. Cellular RNase Ps are ribonucleoproteins. The record is from RNAcentral. RNAcentral also lists the same sequence under 1 other name. Lineage: Bacteria; Bacillati; Actinomycetota; Actinomycetes; Micrococcales; Micrococcaceae.